UACGGAGGAUGCGAGCGUUAUCCGGAUUUAUUGGGUUUAAAGGGUGCGUAGGCGGGCUUUUAAGUCAGCGGUAAAAAUUCGGGGCUCAACCCCGUCCGGCCGUUGAAACUGGGGGUCUUGAGUGGGCGAGAAGAAGGCGGAAUGCGUGGUGUAGCGGUGAAAUGCAUAGAUAUCACGCAGAACCCCGAUUGCGAAGGCAGCCUUCCGGCGCCCUACAGACGCUGAGGCACGAAAGUGCGGGGAUCGAACAGG
This 252-nucleotide ribosomal RNA is filed under the name uncultured bacterium. RNAcentral's name for it is "partial 16S ribosomal RNA". It matches the Rfam family "Bacterial small subunit ribosomal RNA", at positions 524 to 776 of the family's 1533-position model. The record is from RNAcentral.